Molecule: unclassified non-coding RNA, 179 nt
Filed under: uncultured Metapochonia
Lineage: Eukaryota; Fungi; Ascomycota; Sordariomycetes; Hypocreales; Clavicipitaceae
Description: sequence contains ITS1
Source: RNAcentral
CCGAGUUAUUCUACUCCCAAACCCCUGUGAACUUAUACCUUUACUGUUGCUUCGGCGGGUUAACGCCCCGGAAGGCCCGCGAGGGCCGCCGGAACCAGGCGCCCGCCGGGGGACCCAAACUCUUCUGUAUUUUUUAUUUUACUGUUAUACUGUCUGAGUAAAAAACUAUAAAUGAAUCA